CCCAUGUUUCAUCCAGGCAGAGCACUCCUAUCCCUCCCUGUCCAAGGCAGUGGCAGAGCACCCUCCUAUUGCUGGCCUGGAGGCAUGCAGAUCCUCCUGCCUUGGGGUGUCAGCCAUAUGCUGGAGUGGGCCCAUUUGGUGUGUGGGUAUUGCAGCAGGGCAGGAUUUCUCCAUAUGAACCUAAACUGCAGUAGGAAUGGAGCUGGAAUUUCUCCCGGAGUUUUCUCAGCCUUCUGAUGAGCUCUAAUUGCUCCCAAAAGGCAUUGGUGCUUUGGAGACACAGUCGCGGGCAGCUACUCGUGCUUUUCUUUCAGGCCCAACACAGACCACCACCGUGCAGAGCUGCAUCAUCCCCUGGGGGAUAAAGGCCUUUUCGUGGUUUAGCAAAGAUGAAGCCUUGUGUAAAACUGGCCAGUGGCAGCCUCUCUCUCCCAUUCCCUCUGCUUGGAGCACAUAUUCAGCACCAUAUCAUGAGGUUCUUCAACAUUGAAACUUCAUUUUUGACUCUAACCCUGCAGUGUCUCUCCUGUCUGGCAGCCUGAUGGAGAUUUAAGGAAAUGUGGUGCAUACCCUUGCAGUAAUAAAAGCAUUGCAAGAAUGGGAAGAUUCCAGGAAUAGCAAAUGUGGUAUUACUCAAUAAACAUUAAGUAACAAACAACCCCUCAAGCCAUGAAAGAAAGAAAACGCUAAUUGACCUUUUUGGUACAAAAUGAUUAAGAAAAGUGUGUUUGAUUUGAAGACGUUUGAUGUUCCUCUCCACUGUGAAUGCUGGAUUUAUAUACCGGAAUGUCUAAGGCUCAAACUGGAAUGAGGGGAAGCAAGAGAGGGGUUUUCCUCUGUGCAUACUAUAAAGGA
This is a long non-coding RNA of Serinus canaria (Common canary), 855 nucleotides long. RefSeq lists it as uncharacterized. The record is from RefSeq and is a predicted model, not a curated record. NCBI's taxonomy places the organism in Eukaryota, Metazoa, Chordata, Aves, Passeriformes, Fringillidae. The transcript is spliced from 4 exons.